This 287-nucleotide long non-coding RNA is filed under the name Salvia miltiorrhiza (redroot sage). RNAcentral describes it as "long non-coding RNA (SMIL_LNC003839)". Lineage: Eukaryota; Viridiplantae; Streptophyta; Magnoliopsida; Lamiales; Lamiaceae. The record is from RNAcentral.
AGCUCCAGCGGAGGCGGCUGCCGGCGUGUCUACACUCUGCGGUCUGCUCGUGAGGCGGGGGGAGGUCUGCAGCGUCUGCUUCAAGCUCCAGCGGCGGUCCGUGCUGGUCUGCUCGUGCUCGCCGUGGAGGAGUAGCGACGCGGAGAAUGGAGGCGGUGGUGGAGGUCGCCGGUCAGAGAAGACUCGGCUGUGCAGUGUGGAGAAUGGAGGCGCGGCUGGGAGUAGGAGGGAGGAGACUAGCUUCUAGGGUUUCCAUUUUGAAAGAAAGGGGAGGGGAGGCGCGGCGC